This 542-nucleotide long non-coding RNA is filed under the name Phoenix dactylifera (date palm). RNAcentral describes it as "long non-coding RNA (PDAC_LNC022040)". Lineage: Eukaryota; Viridiplantae; Streptophyta; Magnoliopsida; Arecales; Arecaceae. The record is from RNAcentral.
UAUAUCACACCAAGAACUUGUGGCCUUUAAUGUUUCUUCCUUCCCUAGUUUUUUUAUCACCUUAGGGCUUGUUUGGUUCGCGGGAAAAGAAGGAGGGAAAGUGUGAUCAAUGGAAAAAUAAUGAGAUACCUCUUGUUUGGUUGGAAUUUUCAAAUAAGUGAGACGGGAAAGUUGUAUUCCUAUGGGAAUAUGAUUCCCACAUUUCAUGAAAAAAUCUUUUCCAUGAGAAACAUGGAAAAGUUACUUUCCCAUGAGGCGGGAAUCACUCCAUUUUUAUUUUUUCCCAAAAAGACCCUUCAGCAUUAAAGAAGCAUUAAAGAAACAUUAAAGACCUAAUUUUUAUUAAGGGCAUAAUACAAAUUAUACAUAACUUUCUCAGAAAAGUGGAUGGUCAACCAAACAUAAGUACUUUGGAAAUUUGUCACUUUUCCAUGGUUAACCAAACAUGCCAAAAAUACUUUUCUAGGCAUCUACUUCCUAGGAAUCUGUUUUCCAGGAAUCAUAUUCCUAGGAGGGAAAAUGCUUUGUGCGAACCAAACGGG